RNAcentral lists this long non-coding RNA (208 nucleotides) under Elaeis guineensis (African oil palm). RNAcentral's name for it is "long non-coding RNA (EGUI_LNC065150)". Lineage: Eukaryota; Viridiplantae; Streptophyta; Magnoliopsida; Arecales; Arecaceae. The record is from RNAcentral.
AACCAAAGAGUGUGGAGACACUGGUAUGGCAUACAGGUGAGAUAUAAGGGUACAUCUGCACAGAACGUGACUGACUCUGGAGCUAUUUCUGCUGUCAAGAUUUGCUCCAAUGGGAUAUGGGUAUAACUGUCCCUCCGACCUAAGACAGCCACGGUGACUUGCAAGCAACUCACUGCACUUAGGCACGGGACUACCUGAAUUUCUAAUU